ACAGAGAGCUUGCUCUCGGGUGACGAGCGGCGGACGGGUGAGUAAUGUCUGGGAAACUGCCUGAUGGAGGGGGAUAACUACUGGAAACGGUAGCUAAUACCGCAUAACGUCGCAAGACCAAAGUGGGGGACCUUCGGGCCUCAUGCCAUCAGAUGUGCCCAGAUGGGAUUAGCUAGUAGGUGGGGUAAUGGCUCACCUAGGCGACGAUCCCUAGCUGGUCUGAGAGGAUGACCAGCCACACUGGAACUGAGACACGGUCCAGACUCCUACGGGAGGCAGCAGUGGGGAAUAUUGCACAAUGGGCGCAAGCCUUAUGCAGCCAUGCCGCGUGUGUGAAGAAGGCCUUCGGGUUGUA
RNAcentral lists this ribosomal RNA (355 nucleotides) under Pseudomonas aeruginosa. RNAcentral's name for it is "bacterial SSU rRNA". It matches the Rfam family "Bacterial small subunit ribosomal RNA", at positions 71 to 427 of the family's 1533-position model. Lineage: Bacteria; Pseudomonadati; Pseudomonadota; Gammaproteobacteria; Pseudomonadales; Pseudomonadaceae. The record is from RNAcentral.